Molecule: ribosomal RNA, 253 nt
Filed under: uncultured bacterium
Lineage: Bacteria
Description: partial 16S ribosomal RNA
Rfam family: Bacterial small subunit ribosomal RNA
Source: RNAcentral
UACGUAGGGUGCAAGCGUUGUCCGGAAUUAUUGGGCGUAAAGAGCUUGUAGGCGGUUUGUCGCGUCUGCUGUGAAAAUCCGGGGCUCAACCCCGGACUUGCAGUGGGUACGGGCAGACUAGAGUGUGGUAGGGGAGACUGGAAUUCCUGGUGUAGCGGUGAAAUGCGCAGAUAUCAGGAGGAACACCGAUGGCGAAGGCGGGUCUCUGGGCAACAACUGACGCUGAGGAGCGAAAGCGUGGGGAGCGAACAGG